AGGUGGAAGGAUUAGCCUUGAAAUGCUGGAGGGAGAGCCAGCUGCUCCUCUGGGAGAGGAGGAAAGAGUUUUGGCUUGACAAGCAGUGCAAUGUCCGCGCCUGGGAUCCAAACCUGCAAACUCCGGGCCACCGAAGCAGAGUGCGUGAACUUAACCACCAGGCCACCAGGCUGGCCUCUGGUCAGUUUUUGAUACACCAGCCUCAGAUCUUUAGAGAAGCUGAAUCUAGCUGUCCAGCCCGAGGGGAACCCUCCAGGGCCAGCCCAGGAGUGAACACAGCCUGUGUUUCCACUUACAAGCAUGCUCUCUUGGGGCUAUUCUGAGUGUGGAGUGAAGACACCUAGCAACCCUCUUCUAUUAUGUUGAUUCAACCAAGACAGGCUCUGCAGGAGCAAGGUCGCCUUACCUGGACUGCCACGUGUUAGUAAGGAACCCUCUUCUGAAGACUCAGAGAGCACAGGCCUAUUGUGAUGUGUGGUUAAACCUCGCUGAUCAGUUCCUAGGUACCUCUGUCUACGCAGCCUCUUU
Molecule: long non-coding RNA, 528 nt
Filed under: Equus caballus (horse)
Lineage: Eukaryota; Metazoa; Chordata; Mammalia; Perissodactyla; Equidae
Description: lncRNA (ENSECAG00000048342.1)
Source: RNAcentral